Molecule: ribosomal RNA, 439 nt
Filed under: uncultured bacterium
Lineage: Bacteria
Description: partial 16S ribosomal RNA
Rfam family: Bacterial small subunit ribosomal RNA
Source: RNAcentral
CUACGGGCGGCUGCAGUGGGGAAUAUUGCACAAUGGGGGAAACCCUGAUGCAGCAACGCCGCGUGGAGGAUGACACUUUUCGGAGCGUAAACUCCUUUUAUAUAGGAAGAAGAUGACGGUACUAUAUGAAUAAGCGCCGGCUAACUCCGUGCCAGCAGCCGCAGUAAUACGGAGGGCGCAAGCGUUACUCGGAAUCACUGGGCGUAAAGAGCGUGUAGGCGGAUUAAAAAGUCAGAAGUGAAAUCCUAUAGCCUAACUAUAGAACUGCUUCUGAAACUCUUAAUCUAGAAUAUGGGAGAGGUAGAUGGAAUUUCUGGUGUAGGGGUAAAAUCCGUAGAGAUCAGAAGGAAUACCGAUUGCGAAGGCGAUCUACUAGAACAUUAUUGACGCUGAGACGCGAAAGCGUGGGGAGCAAACAGGAUUAGAUACCCUCGUAGUC